Homo sapiens (human) is the source of this 264-nucleotide long non-coding RNA. The record is from Ensembl. Lineage: Eukaryota; Metazoa; Chordata; Mammalia; Primates; Hominidae.
AUCUGAAACGAAGCCAAGCAAAGCAACAUCACCUUCUGGAAAGUGCAGAAACUGCAAUCAAGAUCAACAAAGAAAAGCACCCUUCCCAUAGAUUCAUCUCUUUGGCGUUUAAGUGUUUGGGCGAGUCUACAAAACUCAGAUUCCUCAUUUAACUAGAUGUUCCAGGUCACAGAGAUAUUCUACUAAGGCAAUUUUCAAAAGACCAUAAAACCACCACAUCAAUUUAUGCUUGCAGCUGCUUCUACUUCAACAAAUACAAGUGCU